This 113-nucleotide small nucleolar RNA is filed under the name Ochotona princeps (American pika). RNAcentral describes it as "Small nucleolar RNA SNORA74 (ENSOPRG00000023139.1)". The record is from RNAcentral. Lineage: Eukaryota; Metazoa; Chordata; Mammalia; Lagomorpha; Ochotonidae.
CCCAGCUGUAGGCAACUGUGUAUGUUACCUUGUACCUAGGCAAGUGCUACACUGCUGGGAGAAAAGCAGCCAGUAGCUGGUAGGCAUUCUGGGCCAGGCUAAUGCCAAAUUUG